UUUUUUGGCUGCACCUGUGGCAUAUGGAAGUUUCCAGGGCACGGACUGAAUCUGAGCCAGAUCUGGGACCUAUGCUACAGCUGUAGAAUGCUGGAUCCUUAUCCCACUGUGCUGGCCCAGGGACUGAACCAGCUCUCCACAGAGACAAGGCAGAUCAAUAAUGCACUAUGCCACAGCAGGAACUAAAAAAAAAAAAGUUUACUAUUUUUAUGGGCGAGUAUAGGACUGAGAAUAAGAAUUUUGAAAAUGAAAUACAAAGAAGAUGGACUACAUUAUCAGAUAUUAAAACACUUUAGAGAACUAUAGGAAUUAAGACAGUGUGGUACUGAUACAAGAACAAAUUAUCAAAAUGGAAUAAAGAGUCUUGAAACUGUCCUAUUUAUUUUUAAGGAGGACUACAUGAUAUAUGUGGGACAAAGGCAUGCUAAUUGAUGUGUUCAAUUUGCAAUCUAUCUAAAAUUUAUUUUUAAUCCAUAUUAAAUUUGCUUUUAUCUGUAGCGUGAGGUAAAGAUCAAAUUAUGUCUUUUCCACAUGAAUGCCAGAAACGAAACAAAACAAAACCCCUAGAUAUGGAAAACUCCUAUAAGAAAAAUAUAGGAGAGGUAGAGAAAUUUCUUUUGUCUUUCUGCCUUUUCUAGGGCUGCACGCUCGGCAUAUGGAGGUUCCCAGGCUAGGGGGCGAAUUGGAGCUGUAGCCACCAGCCUACACCACAGCUCACGGCAACGCUGGGUCCUUAACCCACUGAGCGAGGCCAGGGAUCGAACCCUCAACCUCAUGGUUCCUAAUCGGAUUCGUUAACUACUGCACCAUGACGGGAACUCCAAGAAAUUUCUUAAAACAGAAAAGUCAGGUAAAAGGUAUGGUUCCAUUAACGUGUCCAGAUCUCAAAAAAGAAAAAGACAUAGAGUAUAAAAAGCAAUAUGAUGCAAUAUGAUGCCACUUAUGUCAAUUAAAACACACAUAAAGAUGCCUAUGUCUAGCUAUAAAUACAGUGUUUAAACCUCUAAAAGUUAGUCUGGAAGGAGAGGUUCUGGAAUGAAAUGGGGGGAACUUAAGUUAUGACUAGUUUUUUGUUUAAAAAAAAGCCUUAAAAACAAAUAUGGCAAAACACUAAUAGCUGUUAAAUCUGAGUUGGAGGAAUAUGGAUGUUUGCUGGAUUAUUUUUGCAUUUGUGCAUUUGCUAUAUUUUUUAACUUUUUAAAGAAAGAAUCUUUGAACUCAAAUGUUAAAUCUCAAGUUUCUUCAUUAAUCUCCCUAUUACCCUACAGAGUAUUUUCUUGAUUAUCUAUAAUCUUCUUCUUAUUUCAAAAUAAGCAAUAUAAACAGGGCAGACAAAUAAAUGAAGCUGUCAAUCCCAACUGUGAUGCCUACUUUUACGUGUCAAUUCAGCUCAGGUACGAUGCCCGGAUGUUUGGUCAAACACCAGUCUAGACGUUGCUGUGAAGGUAUUUUUUAGAUGUGAUUAAUAUUUAAACAGCGAACUUUUCUUGAAGAUUCCUCCCCAUUAUGUAGUGGGCCUUGUUUAAUCAGUUGACAGCCAUAAGUGAAAAGAGACCAAGGCUUCCCAAAGGACAAGGAACUGUCCUCAAGACUGCAAAAGGAGUUCCUGUUGUGGCUCAGUGGGUUGAGCACCUGCCAUGGUGUCCCUGAGGAUGCGGGUUCGGUCUCUGGCCUCACUCAGUUGGGUUUAGGAUCCAGUGUUGCUGUGCGCUGCAGCACAGGUCAGAUGCAGCUUGGAUCUGGUGUUGCUGUGGCUGUGGUGUAGGCUGGCAGCUGCAGCUCUGAUUCUACCACUUGCCUGGGAACUUCCAUAUGCUGCAGGUGCAGCCUAAAAAGAACCAAAGAAGACUGCAACAUAGAAACUCUGCCAAAUUUUCCAACCUGCUGGCUCACCCUACAGAGUCUGGACCCGCCCAUCCCCAUGACUGCGUGAACCCAUUUCUCAAAAUAAACCCUCCCCACUUUCUUCACACACAUGUAUCUCCUCUCCAUUCUAUUUCUCUGGAAAACCCUGACUAUACCAACACUGCAAGAUUGGAGGCUACCACGGUUUCUCAACAAUGAAAAUGGUUCACAGUUUUUGUAACAAAAGGGUAGUAAACCAUGCUUUGGGGGAGUGAGGGGACAAGGACAGACCAGUUUGUGUUGACACACUGGAAUCAAACACAGCUUGUGUUUAUUUUCUAGGAAAAUGGCUCAUGAGGAGAUAAAAGUUCCUCAGUAAGAUGGCAUCUUGUCAGAGGUGUGAUUUUUCUGAGUGGAAAGGUCCCCACUGGCCUGAGAUUACCUGCUGGCCAGAUGCUUCUGUGGAGGAUACCUGUCCACACUCCUGCAAGGAGGAUCAAGAGGGGCCGGAGGAGUGAAGGCUGGCCUUCCCAUGCCCGGGAUUUUUCCUGAGGGGAAUUCUGCCCGUUUCUUUCACCAAAACCACACGUUGACAGGCUGCCCAAGACAGACUGCUCUCUGUAGACCGACUUCUCCACCCAUGGGCCUCGGCUCUGCUCACACUGUUGUCAACCGUGUCAAGUGCUCUGGCUUCAUAUGACAGCCCACAGUCCCCUUCAUCUGUGAAGUACACCUCCAGACACCACAUACACCUGCAUAAAAGGCUACAAGGACCCCUAAAUAGAAGUUGGUAUCCCUUUGUUCAGCGUAGAUCUCUUACGGAUCUUAGAGAAAAUGUAUCUGAGCCAUUUCAUGUUGUGCACUUCUGUUCAUUUUACUUUGGUUUGGGACUUGCAAACCAAGAAAAUUCAAGUAAGGAGCAAGAGUGGAGUUACUGAAACAGCGGUUCAAGAUGACAACAGUACAUGUUAUAAAAAUGCUUCUUGACAUCAACCGGCAUUACUUAUAAAGUUAGAAGUGAACAAAGGACAUCUCAGUGGGGACCAUGAGAUGAGCCCAAAUAUAAGCAGUCACCUACUGUCCCAAUCAGAACAACCUGGUGGGGGGUGGGUAGUAUUUUGGUUAAAUAAAUGCAAAUGAUGUAAAUGAAAGACUAUCAUAAGAUGGCAACAGUCCACCUAAGCAGCCUUCGGUGGAAAUGUAACAUUUAAAAUAUUUACUGUAAAUAUUUUACAGUAAAAAAUGUAACAUUUAAAAUAUUUACUGUAAACGAUUUAAGACAGUAAUAUAACAAUCCACAUGGUUGUGGGUGCAAGAAUAUCAUACACCUAAAUCCUACAUAAACAGCAUACGUUAACACUUAUUUAGAAAUAUUUCUAGUUUCCUCCCGUCUCUGACUCUCACAUAUUAGAAAAUGAUUUAUUCAGAGUCUUCAGUGGCUGUUUUACACCCAUGCUUGUGAUUACGGCUGCAUUCGGGGUUUUCUAAAGCACAUCCCAUUGACUCCAUGUCAGUUAUUUGGGAAAGGUUCUUGACUUGUGCCAUUUUUAAAUGAUCUUUAAAGGUCUUGUUUACAAAGAAAUUCAACACUUGUUACUGUGAGGUCAGAUGCCCAGGAAUACUACUAGAUUUUUUUUGAAACCUUUUGUUAAUAUGAUUUCCUCAGUUGACCUCUAUGGAGCAUCCAGAACCAGUAUUGACGGAGGUCAUUUCAGGCUAAUGCAUGUUCUCUAAAUAACACUGUGAUGUUCAAAAUAAAAUAAUUGUGAGAUCUUUCCACAGCAUGAGAGAAUUUGUAAAGAUUUAAAUCUAAGUCAAUUUCCUCAUUUCCUAAGAUAAUUUUUUUUGGGGGGGGGAGUGGAUAGGGAGCAUGCCUUACAUUUAAUUUGGGCUUAUGAGGUACAUCCUGCAACUUCAUUUCCCACACCCUCCCCACCUGCCUCUCCUCCUCGACAGCAGUCAUGGCAACGUGGUACAGAAUCCUACACAGAGAGAUGGGGGACUCCUGGGGAACCCAAAAGGCUGUGUCUAGAGGACCCGGAAACCGGCACCUCUCCCACAGACAGAUGGGCUGGGAGGCCCCUGACUUUUUGUCUUGUCUUUCCUCUGCUUCUAAAAAUAAUUUGUGCAGCUGUGGUGUGAUGCCUUUAAGAGUGGCAGGAGUGGAGUUCCCCUUGCGGCUGAGCAGGUUAAGAACCUGACUAGUAUCCAUGAGGAUGAGGGCUCGAUUCCUGGCCUUGCUCAGUGGGUUAAGGAUCCAGUGUUGCCAUGAGCUGUGUGUAGGUCGUAGACACAGCUUGGAUCCUGUGUUGCUGCGGCCAGCAGCUUCAGCUCCAAUUCAACUGCUAGCCUCGGAACUUCCAUAUGCCAUGGGUGCAGGCCUCAAAAGACUGAAAAAAAAAAAAAAGAGUGGCAGGAGAGUAUCUGCAAUGGGGAGACUCCUGGGCAGCCAGAGAGGCCUGUAUGUAGGAGAUGGGGAGAAUUUUCUGGAACAUUCUGAAGAAAGGCCUAAAUAUCUUGGGAGCAUCACUGAGCCCCCACCUAUUACCUAUUUCAGUGACUGAAGUGGAAAGGAACAGUGGCCAAUGCUCCAAGCUGCAUAAGGAGCUCAUUGCUGCCAUUAAAUUUCAGUUCAAAGAGGAAGGGUGGGGGAGGGGGGAAAGAGGAGGAGGAUGAUAAAUAUGCAUCAACAGUAUAUAUUUUGUGAUCUAUAGUAAGAAAUAAAUAUUUGGUCUCUGGAGUUUCCUUGUGGCACAGUGAGUUAAGGAUUUGGCAGUGUCAUUGCAGCGGCCUGGGUUGCUGCUGUGGUGUGGGUUUGAUACCUGGCCUGGGAACUUCUACAUGCCAUGGGUGAGACCUCCCUGCCCCCCCAAAAAAAAACAACAGGAGAAGGAAAGAAAUAUUUGAUCUUUGUCCACUGUUCCUUGCACAGCACUCCUAAAAGCCUUGUAAUUCUCUACACAAGAGUCAUAAGGGCAUCUUUCCAUGUAUUUAGUUCCUGAAAUAGCCCCAGAGCAAUAAAUAUGAAAUGGGUAUCUUUUUUAACAAGUCCCUUUCAAUCACAUCUAAUUCUGUAAUAACAUGAUGACAUAGAAAAUGAGACUGGUUGCUGGGGAGGGGGUUUUGGGGGAGACCCAGGCAAAAUUAGAGGGUUGGAACAUUCAAUCCCACCCCCUUGACCUCUGGGGAAGGGCGAGGUGCUGGAGAUUGAGUUCAAUCAUCAAUGACCAAUAUUUAAUCAAUUGUGCCUGUGUAAUGAGACCUCCAUUAAAAACCGCAAAGGAUAGACCUGCAGAGGUUACAGGUUAGAGAACACCUGGAGAUGCCAGGCCCCCUUCCCCAGACCUUGCCCUAAGCAUCUUCCACCUGGCUGUUCUCGAGUUGUAUCCUUUUAUAACAAAUCAGUAAUCUAGUAAGUAAACUGAGUUCCGUGAGAUAUUCUGGCAAAUUAAACAAAUGAUUAAUUAACCCUACUAAUUAAGAGGUGGGGUUGUGGGAAUUUACAGAGUGCUGGUCAGAAACACAGUUGACAACUUGGACUUUUGAAUGGCCUCUGAAGCAUGUGUGGUACGGGGAGGGGGCAGGCUUGUGGGACUGAGCCCUUAACAUUGGCAUCUGAUGCCACCUCUAGAGAGACCACGUAGGAACUGAGUUGAACUAAAGGACACCCCCCUCCCCCGCCGGUGUCCACCCCUGUCCCCCACAUGCACAUUUGGUUACCAGAAGUGUCAGAAGUGAAAUAGUAUUCAGAGUAUUAUGUAUAAUACAAUUGAAAACAAUUAAUAAGACUUUUUCUUUAUAACCCGGGCAGUCAUGGAAGAGAAGAAACCCCAAACCGUAAGGCCAAGAGAGUGGAGCUGGAAUAUGGCAGGAUUCAGAAAAGCUACCUCCAGGGCAUCUGACCGAGUCCACAUUUUCAUCAGUAGACUGGGGUGGGCUUUGUCCUAAAGUGACACACAGACCUGGCACUUCCAGAAAUUUGAUAAUUGUAACAAGAAAGAUGGGGAUCUGCCUCAUGCUCCUUGGGUUUUUCUCCAUUAAGAAAAUUAACCUUUAACUCAAGCCUUGUUGUAUGACUGAGGAAAGGACUCCGUAAAGUUAAGAGACAACAGUUAACAAAGUGCAUCCAGAAAGGAGAAGCAACAAACAGGAGCUAAAUUUCAUCCCAGGCUUAUGUGUCUGGCACAGAGAUGAAUUGUGCAGGCAGUAUCUCGAUCCUUACCCCCAGCCUAUCAGGGAGUAACAUACAUUAUCCCCACUUUACAGUUGAGAAAACCAAGCCAAAGCAGCUACCGUUCCCCAGAGUCAUUUAGCAAGAAUGUGGGCCAGCUGGGAUUGGAGUGUCACUACUUCACUGACAAGACUUAUUUGUGAACUGAUGAGAUGCUAUAGGUGAUCUAUCACUUCAC
RNAcentral lists this long non-coding RNA (6254 nucleotides) under Sus scrofa (pig). Its description in RNAcentral is "lncRNA (ENSSSCG00015068984.1)". The record is from RNAcentral. Lineage: Eukaryota; Metazoa; Chordata; Mammalia; Artiodactyla; Suidae.